Molecule: ribosomal RNA, 497 nt
Filed under: uncultured bacterium
Lineage: Bacteria
Description: partial 16S ribosomal RNA
Rfam family: Bacterial small subunit ribosomal RNA
Source: RNAcentral
GAUGAACGCUGGCGGCGUGCCUAAUACAUGCAAGUCGAGCGAACGGACGAGAAGCUUGCUUUUCUGAUGUUAGCGGCGGACGGGUGAGUAACACGUGGAUAACCUACCUAUAAGACUGGGAUAACUUCGGGAAACCGGAGCUAAUACCGGAUAAUAUUUUGAACCGCAUGGUUCAAAAGUGAAAGACGGUCUUGCUGUCACUUAUAGAUGGAUCCGCGCUGCAUUAGCUAGUUGGUAAGGUAACGGCUUACCAAGGCAACGAUGCAUAGCCGACCUGAGAGGGUGAUCGGCCACACUGGAACUGAGACACGGUCCAGACUCCUACGGGAGGCAGCAGUAGGGAAUCUUCCGCAAUGGGCGAAAGCCUGACGGAGCAACGCCGCGUGAGUGAUGAAGGUCUUCGGAUCGUAAAACUCUGUUAUUAGGGAAGAACAUAUGUGUUAGUAACUGUGCACAUCUUGACGGUACCUAAUCAGAAAGCCACGGCUAACUACGUG